Molecule: long non-coding RNA, 7234 nt
Filed under: Gossypium barbadense (sea-island cotton)
Lineage: Eukaryota; Viridiplantae; Streptophyta; Magnoliopsida; Malvales; Malvaceae
Description: long non-coding RNA (GBAR_LNC015954)
Source: RNAcentral
GAAAAACUUAUAGAAAUUUGACUAGCCAUGAAGAUUAUAUAGAAAUAAUAUCGAUCCCAUCCCUGAGUUCCAAAUAAUAAUUGAAAAAAGAGAGCUGAAAACAGAGUUCAUAACAACAAAUUUCUGAAAUUAGUUUUUAACAAGUUAAAAGGGCUAAGCCAUCAGGUUACACCUACAAAGAAUCAAAGUUAUCUUCUAUAUAAAUUUGUAAACAUCAAGUAACGAGGGUUUACCCCCAACGAAUAUUGGAGGAGCUUGGAUUUCUACACUACCCUCAAUAUCUUCUCUCUGUAGCUGCUCAGCUUCUUCUCCUUUUCAAGGGUUGGCGACUGGAGCAUGCUCAAACUAUGAUUUUGUAAAACCCCCAACCCGUAUCCCUCGCCAGAACCGGGUUACGGAGCAUUACCGGAGAUUUCAGAUCAAACAGACAGAAAUCUCAAAUAUUUUAUAUCAUCAAAACAAGUCAUCAAGCAUCGUUUUAAUCCAAAUUAUAAACUCUCAAAAAUAGAUCUUACAACUUCAUUUACAAUCAAAUCACAAAAUAACUAAUAUUUAGACACUUUAGGUACAUGCCGACACAAAGAAAUAAACAUCACCAUAUUUGAGUUCGGGAUCGUUGUUGGAUGCUGAAUCAGCGAUCAAACUUAAGUACUUAACCUGCACACGAAAAAUAAAACCGUACGCUGAGUAAAAACUUAGUGGUAUUUCUAUAAUCUGAAUAUUUAAAAAUAAAACAAUAAAAUAUGUAUAAUAAAAUGUCAAGCACAAUUGAACAUUUAAAACCAUACGAUAUUCAAUAAUCAUCACUUGCUAUAUAUAAUAGCUUUCCACAUUCAAUUCAUGAGUAUAUAACUCGUGUAUUCCAUGUAUUUAUAACAUAUUUCAUAUUAUGUUUUCAAUUCACUAUCAUUUUUCACAUUCUAUUUUCAAUUCACUAUCUCAUAUUCUUAUUCUUAGCCCAAAGUAGACUUUAUAGAACACACCGGAUAUACGGAACAAAUACAGAGGUGCAUUAUUAUGCACUAAUGAACAGAGAGCACUGAAGUGCUAUACAGUGAGCACAGAUGUGCUAAACAGAGAGCACUGACGUGCUAGUAAUCAGGGGAGCACUAACGUGCUAAUAAUCAGAGAGCACCAACGUGCUAAAUGCUAAUAAUCAGAGAGUGCGCUAAAGUUCCUUAAUGACAUGCCACUAAUAUCCCAGUAGUUCUAAAUUCCAUCUACUUGGGCAUUAAGGGUGAAUUUUAUACAUAUAAAAAAUAAUUGAAUUAUCAUAUUUGCACAAUUUCACAUUUAUAAUAUAUAUUCAUAAUAUAUAUUCCACUUCAAUUCAACCAAUAUAAUUUCAUCACAUAUCAAUACAAUCCACUUCAAUUGUAAAAAAAAAAAACAAUAAUUCUCACCUCAAUCACUUACCAUAACAUUUAAUUAAAAAUAUAACAAUUAAUAAUUAGAUUCGGAUUAUAGAAAUACAAACCAGGAAUUCCGAGCUAUUCCUCGUCGACUAUAUUUUUUUCCCUUUUUAGUCGAGAAUUCCGGUACAACGCUAGCUACGGAAUUAAAACAAUUAAAAAUCAUCAAUACAAUUCAAUUCAAUCUCAUAUUAAAUAUUUCAAUUUUUACUCAAUAUUUGCCUAAAUUUCAAUUUAGUCUCUAAACCGAGACUAACUUUUAUUCUCAAAACUAAUUUCAUAUUUUCAUUCCAUUCCCACUUUAAACUAAUUUAACUCUCUAAUUUCACCAUAAAUCCCUAGUUUUGAAAUUCUCUCAAUUUAGUCCCUAUUAAUUCAAAACUUAUGUUUUAUUUUACAAAUCAACCAUUUACUAACUUCUAACUUGAAAUUCAAUCAAUUUAACCCUUAUUUCAUCAAUUAAUUCAACAUAACUCAUGUCUAAAAAUCAACUAUCUUUCAAAUUUUCAACAUAUAUCAUGACAUAUUUUGUUCUAGAACUCCAAAAACUCAAAAAUUAUAAGAAAAUGGAUUAAAUUAACUUACCAAUUGAGCUUGGAACUUCAAAACCCAAAAUUCCCUUUUCUUUCUUUCCUUUCUCCUUCUCUGUUGCGUUUUUCAAUUCUGUUUCUUUCCUUCUUUUCUAUUUGUUUUUUUUAUAUAUAUAAUAAUAUAAUAUUAUAACAAUAUAAUUAAUAUAAUAAUUAUUUAUUAAGUAAAUAAAUAUAAUAUAUAUUAACUAAAAUAUCUCAGAUAUUUCUUUAGGUAUGCCGGUUCAACUUUAUAAAAAGGCAUAAUUACCUAUUUGGUCCUUUUAACUUUUCUUUAAUUUUUAAUUAAAAUUUUAUCUCUAUUGCAAUUUAAUCCUUUUUCAUAAUUAACCUCAAUUUAGACAAAUUCACCUAAUUAAAACUUAAUUAAUUAUACAACUAACUUCGUAAAUAUUUAUCACCCAAACGACGUCGUUUUCUUACCUUUCGUGGCUUUAGCGGCGUUUUUGAAGAAGCGCCGCUAAUGCUAGGGCUUUAGCGGCGUUUUUGGAAAAGCGCCGCUAAAAACAUUUUAUCUUAAUUGGUUUAUUUAUAUUAAGUAAAUAAAAUUCAAUUUAUUUCUAAUUGAAUAUUCAAAGAAUUAUGAUUGUUUUUUAAUUUAUAUAUUAAAAAAUUUCUUAUAUAAUUGUAAAAGAAAUAGUAUUAAUUUUAAAAUAUUGAAUUAAUUAUCACUAUAGUUUAGGGUUUUUGGUUUAGGGUAUGGUAUAUGAUUUAUUUAAGAUUUAAGGCCAGUUUAGGAGUUACUAUUUUAAGGUUUAGGGAGUAUGGAUUAGGGAUUAUGGUUUAAGGGUUGAGAAUUAAUGUUUAGGGGUUAGAGGUUUAGGGGUUUAGGGGUUAGAUGUUAUGGGUUAAGAGUUAAGAAUUUAGGGUUUAGGGAUUCAGGGGUCGAGUUAGGAUUUUGGGCGUUUAGAUUAAUUUUUUUAAUUUAUGUUUUAAAUAUGUUCUUAUAUAAUUGUAAAAGAGAUAAUAAUAAAUUUGUUUAGGGUUUUUGGUUUAAGGUAUAUGAUUUAUUUAAGAUUUAAGGCCGGUUUAGGAGUUCAUAUUUUAAGGUUUAGGGAGUAUGGAUUUAUGGAUUAUGAAUUAGUGAUUAUGGUUUAAGGGUUGGGAUUUAAGAUUUAGGGAUUAGAGGGUUAUGGGUUUAUGGGUACUUAGACGCGUUAGGGGUUAAAAGUUAGGGAUUCAGGGGUCAGGUUAGGGUUUUGGGUUUAGAUUAAUUAUUUUUUUAAUUUAUAUUUUAAAUAUGUUCUUAUAUAAUUGUAAAAGAGAUAAUAAUAAAUUUGUUUAGGGUUUUUAGUUUAGGGUAUAUUAUUAAUUUAAGAUUUAAGGCCGGUUUAGGUAUUCAUAUUUUAAGGUUUAUGGAGUGUGGAUUUAGGGAUUAUGGUUUAAGGGUUGGGAUUUAAUGUUUAGGGGUUAGAGGUUUCCCCCUUCUCUGCUGCAUAACUCCAGGGAGAAAUUAAUAAUGUUUGGUGGACAGGUAUGCUUAAUCAACUUCAUUUUAGUUUAGGGUAUAUUAUUAAUUUGACAGGUAUAAUUUCCCCCCUUCUCUGCUGCAUAACUCCAGGGAGAAAUUAAUAAUGUUUGGUGGACAGGUAUGCUUAAUCAACUUCAUUUUAACUGUAAGCUUUUCAUGUAGCCAUUAUGUCUCAUCCUUCUUGUUGAGUCAUCAUGUCAUGUGGGGGAUCAAGUAUUUAAAUGUUUCACUGGAUAUAUGUGCAUUUAAGCAUGUUGUGCACAUCAUUUUUCACCUCAGGUUCUGUUAGGUCAUAUCCUUUAGAUGUUUAUGCUAAAGAACUGUGACCUUUUUUAUCAAUUAUUUUGUGCUGGAAUUAGUGGUGCACCUCAAGAUAACAACAUUAUGCUUUGGAAUGCGGUUAUAUUUGGGUAUAUUAUGAAAUAAGACUAGAGAAUCUUUAUGUACUUGCUUUUUAGAUUAAAGUUCUAUUAAAUGUUUUAUAUUUAAAUUGUUCCUAUUUAAAUUGUUUUAUAUAUCCAUUUGUGGAGUUGCCUGAGAAAGUAUGGAUUGUCUCAUUUUUUAUUUUUAAAGAAUUUUAAAAUCAGAAGUACAUAUUCUUCAUCUUGGACAGUAACCUAGCUUGGUUAUCCAAUACGAAUACUGUAGGUAAGGUUGGCAGUUGAUGCUAUUUUAAUGGGAUUAAUGGGAGAUAUCCUGAUAGGUACUAUAUGCUUUCAACCCUUGAUAUGGUAUAUCAAGUCCUAAAUCAAAUAAACAUUUAGAUUUGUCUACCCCUAGAAGUAAUGUAUACUUCCAGCCCUUGCGUGAUAUUGUACCUAACACUCACAUUUGGAAAUGUUAAACAUACUUGUGUCAGAGGCAUACUUGUACCUAACACUCACAUUUGAGUCUGACUAAGUAGCUAAAAGUAUUUUGCACUGGUCCAGUGUUCACUAUUUUAUCCUAGGUUUUGAAAUUCAUGGGUUAUUACUGGUACCAUGUACUUCACUCACUGAAUCUUUUGGCUGAAAUUCAUGCCUCUUAACUGUCCCUUGUUUCUUAUUGAUCUACUUUUACCCUUUUUUUUUCUAAGAUACGCUGAUUUUGCAUUGUUUUCACGUGCUUAUUUCUGCUCUUGUUCUCAGUGAUGUAAGAUUGAAUUAGUUUAAAAGUGUUUUCUGCUAAUGGGUAUUGUUUAGCACUCUUCAGUCUAAACUAUUGUAAUUUAUAUUUAUUGUGGAUAUAUUGCCAUGUCUAUGUUUUUGAAUUUGAUGAAUUACUGAUAUGCACGACGUGUUUGCUUUACUAGACUUUAAAUGGUGGAAUUUCUUUGUUUUUGGAUACACAGUUUUGAGAUUUCUUUUGAAUUCAAAAUUGCCCAAGCUGCAUUUAAGUGAUUGCAUAUGUGAAAGUGUGCGUUUUUCUUGUCCAUAUGUCACAUGUCAGGCUUUAAGUUUAUGAAACCUGAGGAUUAGUAUAUAAUAGAUAUAUCAUUAUUUUUUGUUUAGAUAAUUAAGCACCAGCUAUGUUUAGCAAUUAACUUCUGUCAGGCUAGUUAAAUUUUUAAUAAUCAACUUUCAAUCCCAGCUGAGAACUUCGUUUUUAAUAACCAUGUUUUUGUUACCUAAGUUUUUCACCAUUCAUCCCUCUUUAUCAUAUAUUCAUGCUAGGUUGGAAACUAAAGGAGGUUAACCUUUUAUUUCUUUGUAGAAGGAUAAUACUUGCUAUAUAAUGGUUAAGACUGAAAGUAAUAUCAUUCCUAUGUUUUUAGAAAAUAUUUUAAUUUUUUAUGAAAGUAAGAUAUUAAAAGUAUGCCCACGAUGGAAUUAGCUCUUAUAAAUCACUUCUAGACUGUUGUGUGAUCACAUGUCUUGAUGAUUGAUGUUAAUAUAUAUAUAUGGUUUUGCUCUAUGAAAAUCCUUUUGUUUUCACAUAUUGCCAUGCUAAACUAGCAGCACUCUUAUCUUUUUUGCAGUCACUACUCAGAGGUAGGUUCUUGCUUGAAAGACCUGUUGAAGAGGAGAGACCAUCUUCAGUGGCAGUGAGUGAAUUAAAUUAAUUAAGUCACUACUCAGAAGUAAAAUAUCAAUUAGCCUGUUACUUUAUCAGAUUGUGUUAUAUUUCCUCAACAAUGUCUAAUUUGAGUUUAUAGAAGCAAUAAGCCCAUGUAGUAAACAGUGGAUGUAGUAAACCUAUUUUAGUCUAAUUUCAAAGGGUUUUUAGUUUAUAAAUUUUCAAGUUUAUAACUGUACAUAUUGAACUUGUGCAUUUUUUUUUUGCAAUCAAUUAUUUGCACUAUUUGAACUUGUAAUUUUGCUAUUUAAAUAUUAACAUGAUUUUUCAAUAUUUUGACUAAAAAAUAUUAAUUUAUUAUAUGAUUAAAUAAUAUCUUUUUGACUAAAAGUAUAUAUUUAAUACUAAUUAAUUUUUUAUAUUAAUAAUGUUUAAUUUUAAUAUUUAAUUUUUUUAAAUGUUUUUAAAAGUUAGUGGCGAUUUUAUGUAAAAUGCCGCUAAAGAACGGUACUUUUAGCGGCGUUUGUGAUAAAAAGCGUCACUAAAGGUCAUGUUCUUUAGCGGCAAUUGUUAGAAAACCGUCGCUAAAGGCUAUGUUCUUUAGCGGCAUUUAUUAAAAAAGCGCCGCUAAAGAACAUGGUCUUUAGCGGCAUUUAUUUCUAAAAGCGCCGCAAGUAUUAACGGCGUGGUCAAUAGCGGCAUUUUUUGUGGCGCUUGUUGAAGCGCCGCAAAUACUUACAACUGCGCUAAAAGGCGCCGCUGAAGGCCUAAAAAAAUGCCGUUAAAACCCUAUUUUGGUGUAGUGAUAGUAAGAUCAUCUAGCUGUAAGCUGCAAUCAACAGCACAUGAUGAAUUAUGUAAAAUACCAUGACGUAGAACCUCACCUUUUUCAAAUAACUCAUUUCCUUCACAAGCAGACUCUCCUCUUCCUUAAGUUCAGCAAAAGUCUGAAAAAUGACGGAUUCUUCCAGUUAAUAAUAAUACCCCUGAAUGAAUCAUCUUCGGAUUUUCUUUCAUAAAACAUUUCCCACCAAAAACAUGAAUCAAAAAGAUCAAUCACUUUACGUUCUUUCUUCUCUAUCUCUUCGUGGUUGUGCUAGUGGUUCCAUUAGCAGUAACGCCCUGCAAAAUACAUCAACUGAUCAAUAUAAUUUUAAACUGCAAAAUACAUCAACUGAUCAAGAACCAACAAAUUGAAAAAAAAAAUGCUAUAGGAUAAUUUGGAAUACUAGAUGGAUGAAAAUAGUAAAUUUCAAAAGUGGAUAAACAAUUGAACAAAAGCUUGGAGAUUUGGUGGCAGCCCACCUAAAACCCAGGCACAAUUAAAAUCUAAUUUUGAUAAUAAGCUUUCAAGGGUGUUCCAAUGGCGGGUUUUGAGAUAUUUGUGUAUGACAGCAGCGUAGAAAUUGGGAAGCCAAAGCCAGUCCACUAACCCAGCCGCUCCUACUCACGGAAGUGGGCAAUAGUAACACGGCACGCCACAUUACCAAAGAUGUUAACACAUGAUUGAAUUUAAACCUUAUAUCCAUCCAUUGUAUUUGAACUGUUCAGGUCACGUGACUUUUUUAUCAUAUGAUCUGUCCUGACGGCAACCAGUUAUUGGGUCACUACCUGUAUAAGCACUUGCAUUCCCAUUUUGUCUCCCAGUUGUAUUUCCAACUAAUUAUCACUGUUCAUUCUACCUUCGCCACUAUUCAAAGAUUAGAUUUCAUAGCUUCUCAAUCUUAUCUCAAAGAAUCUAUAAUUAAGAUGCUUUAAUAAUCGCG